CGUGAUGCUCUGGACGGAUGUGGUACUGUGUAUCCAAAGGCACUGACAACGUCCAUGACUCACGUAGUCACAGGUCACAAGAACAGGGCUUCAAAUCACAAUAUCAACAAUUAUGAUGCUUUGGACGGGUACGGUACUGUGUAUCCAAAGGCACUGACAGCGUCCAUGACUCACAUAGUCACGGGUCACAAGAACAGGGCUUCAAAAGGAAAAGGAAAAUAAAUGAAAAAAAGUCAUAAGAUAGAGCCAAUCGGGAUUGAAAGCGUAAAUACAAACCAAAUCCA
Molecule: long non-coding RNA, 284 nt
Filed under: Brachypodium distachyon (stiff brome)
Lineage: Eukaryota; Viridiplantae; Streptophyta; Magnoliopsida; Poales; Poaceae
Description: long non-coding RNA (BDIS_LNC002695)
Source: RNAcentral